CUUUGAGAAUGUCCACAUUAACAUCUGUUCCCUAUUAUAUCAAGACCUUGCUAAAGGCAUCCAUUAUCUAUGAAUAGUAAUAACUCUAUUAAUGAAGAGGAUGCAUUCCAGCAGCACAAUCUUUUGUCAGAACUGUCAUUCCCGAGAUUCAUGAAACUUUAAAACUGGAAGAGAUCUUGGCAAUCUUCUAUCAGGAGUUAACAAGCUCAUAUGGUGUCAACCACAGAUACUCUCUAAGCCUAAUGUACAGGACAUCAGAUGAGUUGCUUUGUGGAGAGUUUUUUGGGGAAUGUGAAAAGCCCUACCAUAUGGAGAGGAGCUAACAGAUGUGUCUUGGUAGUGCAAGGGAUCUCCACUGCACAUAAAGGUGUCAGGAGUCCAUCAGGGGAUGUCAUCACUUGGACUCCUCUAUAGGGUUUUUCUUCUUCCUUUGUAUUUUGAAAAUACCCCAUUGGACAUGCUCCAUGACAAUGAUGAAGAGAAAGCUGACCUAUAACUGUGACACCCCAACAGUCUGUUUUGUAACUUCAAAUUGAAAGGAGUAGCAACGUGC
This 553-nucleotide long non-coding RNA is filed under the name Phascolarctos cinereus (koala). RNAcentral describes it as "lncRNA (ENSPCIG00000028880.2)". Lineage: Eukaryota; Metazoa; Chordata; Mammalia; Diprotodontia; Phascolarctidae. The record is from RNAcentral.